Molecule: ribosomal RNA, 460 nt
Filed under: uncultured bacterium
Lineage: Bacteria
Description: partial 16S ribosomal RNA
Rfam family: Bacterial small subunit ribosomal RNA
Source: RNAcentral
CCUACGGGUGGCAGCAGUGAGGAAUAUUGGUCAAUGGACGCAAGCCUGAACCAGCCAAGUAGCGUGCAGGAUGACGGCCCUACGGGUUGUAAACUGCUUUUAUACGGGAAUAACGCGCCUUACGUGUAGGUCUUUGCAUGUACCCUAUGAAUAAGGACCGGCUAAUUCCGUGCCAGCAGCCGCGGUAAUACGGAAGGUCCGGGAGUUAUCCGGAUUUAUUGGGUUUAAAGGGAGCGUAGGCCGCAUGUCAAGCGUGCUGUGAAAUGUCCGGGCUCAACCCGGGACUUGCAGCGCGAACUGGCGGGCUGGAGUGCGCGGAAGGAAGGCGGAAUUCGUGGUGUAGCGGUGAAAUGCUUAGAUAUGACGAAGAACCCCGAUUGCGAAGGCAGCUUGCUGCAGCGGAACUGACGCUGAUGCUCGAAAGCGCGGGUAUCGAACAGGAUUAGAUACCCGGGUAGUC